Molecule: unclassified non-coding RNA, 201 nt
Filed under: Hevea brasiliensis (rubber tree)
Lineage: Eukaryota; Viridiplantae; Streptophyta; Magnoliopsida; Malpighiales; Euphorbiaceae
Source: RNAcentral
AUCCUUGUAAUGCGCCUUGAGCUUCUAAUAAUUAUAAUACCACCUCAAAUCAAUACAUAUAGAGCCCGUUUAAUAUUAUCAAUAAAAUUGUUGUUGAAAAAAGCAACUUAUUAAAUAUGUUAGCUUAAGGAUAUUAAAAGUUAAAAUAAUGUCAAAUUUUAUAUGUUACUAAUAAAAACUCCAAAAUAAAGUCUUUUUUCA